Molecule: non-coding RNA, 1093 nt
Organism: Anas platyrhynchos (mallard)
Lineage: Eukaryota; Metazoa; Chordata; Aves; Anseriformes; Anatidae
Source: RefSeq, a predicted model, not a curated record
AGUGUCUGUGGUGAGGGAGCACUACAAGGAGAUAAUUUAUGAGACCCAUGGGCCCUUUGCCAUUUUGAGGGUGUCUGUUAGGUCUUUGUGGGCCUGGAUACCAUUGCAGAAAGGGAGUAUCUGCAAUUUUUUUCAAUCUGUGACCUGUUUGCUGCAAAACAGCCUGAUCAUGGCCUUAGGAAUGGAGAAAGAAUACUUUGUAUGAGCAGCAAUAAGAUAGAAGUAACAGUAAUUUACCUAAUGCCUUUUAUUAUAAGAUCGAGUCAGGAUCACAAGCAUUUCCCAGUAGGACCGAACUGCUAGACCAGCAGUUUUCCAUUACUUCUGUGUUGCACAAGCAGUUUCCCAGUAAAGGUGACAAUCUCUUCACAGUCAGUUUAGACCCACUAAGGCUUUGUUUUUCUCAUCAUCUUUCACACAACUUCCGCAGGUGUGGUACAUGAAAAACCCAGGAACCUGCAAUCUAUGAAGCUGAGAAUCACAGAGGACAGUAGGACUCACUUAUCAGACACAGUGAUGCAGUUCCAGUCACUUCAGUGAAUUACUUCACCAGACAGUAGGAAGAACAGAACCAGAAUCUAGCCUGACAUAUUUUGUGUUAUUGCAAAUAAAACUGGCCAAAUGUACUAUUUUCAGAAUGGUGUCAGACUGUUAAAUAUACUAAGUAAACAAAACAGAAGGGUCUGCAUCUUGACGGAAAGCACAUGCACACCAAGAUGUAAAACCCUUCUCAUAUAUCCACCACACUGGAUUUUUCUCCAGCUGUUGAUUUCUGAUGCUAUUGAUUUCUGCUGGAGUACAUCAAGAACAGCUUUUUCAGAAUUACUCAAAUUUACUCCCAGGAAGAUGGGAUUAAAAGUAGAAGAAAUAAAGGAGAAAAAUAACUAAAUAUGUGUACAAUUUUGAGUCCUGAAUAUAGCUUCAUUAAAACCAGUGAAGCUAUACUGAAUUCUGCCAGUUAACAGUUUGACACCUAAAUUACAAUGAAAAGCUCUGCUCUGCACAUAUCUCAUCUUAACUAAAGAUUUGUAAAUGUCAAAUGUAUAUACUGAGGUUAUAUUUUGACAAAUAAACUUACCAUAACAUAUUCCAA